RNAcentral lists this ribosomal RNA (460 nucleotides) under uncultured bacterium. Its description in RNAcentral is "partial 16S ribosomal RNA". It matches the Rfam family "Bacterial small subunit ribosomal RNA", at positions 338 to 795 of the family's 1533-position model. The record is from RNAcentral.
CCUACGGGAGGCUGCAGUGAGGAAUAUUGGUCAAUGGGCGCGAGCCUGAACCAGCCAAGUCGCGUGAGGGAUGACGGCCCUACGGGUUGUAAACCUCUUUUGCCGGGGAGUAACGGGCGUCACGUGUGGCGCCACUGAGAGUACCCGGAGAAAAAGCAUCGGCUAACUCCGUGCCAGCAGCCGCGGUAAUACGGGGGAUGCGAGCGUUAUCAGGAUUUAUUGGGUUUAAGGGGUGCGUAGGCGGAUGGUUAAGUCAGUGGUAAAAUUUAGGGGCUAAACCCCUUCCCGCCAUUGAAACUGGCGUUCUUGAGUGGAAGAGAAGUAGGCGGAAGGCGUGGUGUAGCGGUGAAAUGCAUAGAUAUCACGAAGAACCCCGAUUGCGAAGGCAGCAUGCCGGCUUCCGACUGACGCUGAAGCACGAAAGCGUGGGGAUCGAACAGGAUUAGAUACCCCAGUAGUC